RNAcentral lists this long non-coding RNA (662 nucleotides) under Gallus gallus (chicken). The record is from RNAcentral. Lineage: Eukaryota; Metazoa; Chordata; Aves; Galliformes; Phasianidae.
CUUACAACUAUUGGCGUGAGCUGUUGCUACUUUAUGAAUAGUUGCAUAUUGUAAUCAAUGCCACAAGGAGCUUCCAGUUGUUGGACUAGCCAAAGAAUGGUGGGAAAGGACUUUAUCUUUCUUUGAGCAAGCGCUUCGCUGGACUCCUGGAAGACACACCUCAUGUCACUUAUCUAAUCGCCCGAUGGUUCCAAUUCUUUUGAAGAGGUAAUAUUUUUACAAUGCAGAACUGCUUUUAAUGAGCUCCGUGGAUUGGAUCCCUGGUUGUUGCACAUCACUGACAUUUGGCAAGUUGAAAUGGUCCAAUGUAAGGGUUAUAUUUGGUGAAAAAAGUGCUACAUCUCAAGAGAUCAGCCCCUCUGUUGGACUGGAUGGGAAUGUGAGGUGUUUAAACUCUGCUUCAAAGAGUAGUUCCAGUGUCUUUUCAAAGGCAGGAGACUAAGUCACAGGGGAGCCCAAUUUCCUAUUUCCAUGCAUUAAGCCAGUAGUUGACCCAGUUCAAAAUUCAAACCUCUUCAUCCCAAAUGAAUAUCCUGCUGACUAUUCCACUGUUUCGUUAUGCACCGUGAGGCAGAAGAAUCUUACUGUUGAUUUCUGUUUGGAACAUAAGUUGGCCAAAAGAGCAAUCAUAAAUUUUAGAAAACCUCGUCCUUCAUUUCUCU